UAUAUUUGCCGCUCGAAAGAAAAUCUUUCGUGUACAUAAAAAUCAUUUACAAUAAUAUUAGCAUG
This is a non-coding RNA of Tamlana sp. s12, 65 nucleotides long. The record is from Rfam. NCBI's taxonomy places the organism in Bacteria, Pseudomonadati, Bacteroidota, Flavobacteriia, Flavobacteriales, Flavobacteriaceae.